UUCCCUGUGAAGUGGCACAUCAUUAAGAAUGUGCCGAACACUUCACUGAGGCACGUAACACUCGAGAACAAUGAGAACAAGCCUGUUACUAAUAGUAGGGACACCCAAGAGGUUAAUUUUGAGCAGGGUCUCAAAAUCUUUAAAGAUCAUUCCAGUAAGACAUGCAUUCUCGAAGAUUUCGAAUUCUACGAGGCUCGUCAAAGGAUAAUCCAAGAGAAAAGGCUAAGCAUCAGGUGUCGCAGAAAUAGGUUUUGAGUGGGGAGCCUAAUGAUGAUGCUGUAACCGAUAACAAAGAAAAUACAGCAAUGACAAACAAGAACUUG
Molecule: long non-coding RNA, 323 nt
Organism: Hibiscus syriacus
Lineage: Eukaryota; Viridiplantae; Streptophyta; Magnoliopsida; Malvales; Malvaceae
Exons: 3
Source: RefSeq, a predicted model, not a curated record